This 465-nucleotide ribosomal RNA is filed under the name Vreelandella stevensii. RNAcentral's name for it is "partial 16S ribosomal RNA". It matches the Rfam family "Bacterial small subunit ribosomal RNA", at positions 338 to 795 of the family's 1533-position model. Lineage: Bacteria; Pseudomonadati; Pseudomonadota; Gammaproteobacteria; Oceanospirillales; Halomonadaceae. The record is from RNAcentral.
CCUACGGGCGGCAGCAGUGGGGAAUAUUGGACAAUGGGGGGAACCCUGAUCCAGCCAUGCCGCGUGUGUGAAGAAGGCCCUCGGGUUGUUAAGCACUUUCAGUGAGGAAGAACGCCUGGUGGUUAAUACCCAUCAGGAAAGACAUCACUCACAGAAGAAGCACCGGCUAACUCCGUGCCAGCAGCCGCGGUAAUACGGAGGGUGCGAGCGUUAAUCGGAAUUACUGGGCGUAAAGCGCGCGUAGGUGGCGUGAUAAGCCGGUUGUGAAAGCCCCGGGCUCAACCUGGGAACGGCAUCCGGAACUGUCAAGCUAGAGUGCAGGAGAGGAAGGUAGAAUUCCUGGUGUAGCGGUGAAAUGCGUAGAGAUCGGGAGGAAUACCAGUGGCGAAGGCGGCCUUCUGGACUGACACUGACACUGAGGUGCGAAAGCGUGGGUAGCAAACAGGAUUAGAUACCCCGGUAGUC